This 101-nucleotide ribosomal RNA is filed under the name Vibrio chemaguriensis. RNAcentral describes it as "partial 16S ribosomal RNA". Lineage: Bacteria; Pseudomonadati; Pseudomonadota; Gammaproteobacteria; Vibrionales; Vibrionaceae. The record is from RNAcentral.
AGGAAAUGAGGAUACAAGGUAAAGCAGAACCGGAUAACUACGUGGCAGCAGCUGCGGUAUUAAGUAGGGUGCAAGCAUUAAACUGAGAUACUGGGCGUAAA